This 17364-nucleotide long non-coding RNA is filed under the name Vigna radiata. RNAcentral's name for it is "long non-coding RNA (VRAD_LNC010799)". Lineage: Eukaryota; Viridiplantae; Streptophyta; Magnoliopsida; Fabales; Fabaceae. The record is from RNAcentral.
GGGUGAUGGAUUUAUAGGUCAAGACAUAUGGUUUCAGAACACAGCGGGAGCGGCGAAACACCAAGCUGUGGCUCUUCGCGUUGGCGCCGACCAAUCUGUGAUAAACCGUUGUCGCAUAGAUGCCUUUCAGGACACUCUCUACGCACACUCCAACAGGCAGUUUUACAGAGACUCUGUCAUCACUGGCACUAUUGACUUCAUUUUUGGAAAUGCUGCUGUUGUUUUCCAAAAGUGCAACCUGGUGGCCCGAAAGCCGAUGAGUAACCAAAAGAAUAUGGUGACGGCUCAAGGAAGAGAAGAUCCAAAUCAAAAUACAGGAACUUCAAUUCAACAAUGUAACCUAACACCGAGUUCAGAUCUUAAGGCUGUUGUGGGUUCCAUCAAAACUUAUCUGGGUCGACCUUGGAAGAAGUAUUCCAGGACUGUUAUCAUGCAGUCGUCGAUAGACAGCCAUAUUGACCCAACAGGAUGGGCAGAAUGGGAUGCCCAGAGUAAGGACUUUUUGCAAACGUUGUAUUAUGGAGAGUACAUGAACAGUGGAGCAGGUGCUGGAACUAGCAAGAGAGUGAAUUGGCCUGGUUACCAUAUCAUCACAAGCGCAGCAGAAGCCAGCAAGUUCACAGUAACACAACUCAUCCAAGGAAAUGUUUGGUUGAAGAACACUGGUGUCAACUUCAUUGAAGGUCUCUAAAUGCUUCUAUUGUGCUUUUCAUUUCAGAGGAAAUUAAGUAAAGGAAAACAUGCUUACCAUGGUUUUCUCAACUGCUGCUCACACUGUGUUUGAAAAUGAAAUAUUAAAUAAUUCCCAUCAGACCAACUUUCAUUUGUUUCACUAAGGCUAUACCUACCUUCAUUUUACAUAAUUUUUAUAAUAAAAAGUUAAAAAGUAAUAUAUUAAAAAGGUAAACGCAAAACAUUCAUCCUUUAAAUGAAUUUAUUAAAUGCACAGAGUAAUUAAGAAACAUUUUAUUUCUUAUGAUAUCAUUGAGGAGAGACACUGGAUCAUAAUCAUGAUAUACACUAUCAACUUUUUAGUCUUUUGGUGCUUAUAAAUAUAUUUUUAGACUAUUUCACGAGUUUUUCUUUUUUUCUAGUCUUUGUUUAUUUAUUUGUGUUUGACUUUUGUGUGCUUCUUCUUUUUUCUACAGUCUCACACUCUAAGAUUCUUGUUGUACUAUUACAGUUUCCGAUCUGAUUCCAAAACAUACACAAAAAUAAAAUUACGACAAUGAUAUUUUGACAACACUUUUUGACACAAUAAAGAAAGAAAAGAGAUAUGAAUGAAAUGAUUUCUUUUUUCUUUGGAAAAUGUUACUUUAACAACGUCAUUUGACAACAAUUUUGACAACCACAGGUGGCGUGCUCUGAUUGGUUCUUUUAAUUGAAUUUUUUAAAAUGAAAAAUCCUUAAGAGAAGGGCAUUUGUGGAAAAGUAUUUGCUGGAAAUGAAUUGUAUUGGCGUCACUGCUACGCUCUCUCCACGACAACACUUAUCUCUCUCCAGGAAACCAAACUCUCCCUCCAGCAUUCUGAAAUGUUUGCACGCCAUCGAAAUCGCGUUCGUGCAUAUCCAUCCACCAUUGAAGUAUUGAAGUUGCAUAUUGAAUGCUAGCAUUGUCAGCUGUUGUCGGAAGGAGAGGUUUUUUUGGAUCUUAUUUCAUCGUUGAAGACAUUAAUCGAAAGGUUUCGUUAUUUUCCCCUUUCGAAUGCUCUCACGUCCGUCCGCCAUUGAAGUGUUGGGAGGAAGUGUGGAAAGGGGGCUAGCAUUGACUUGAUGUAUUUAAAACUUUGUCAAUAUUGUACAGAGUUAUAUGAAAUGAGUACAAAGUUGGUAGCCUAUUGUUUGAACCAAGGCAAGGUGUGGGGAAUUGUGAGAAAUGUGCCUUAGGAGACUGUGUAAUCGCUUACAGAUAACUGUAAUCGCUUACCAGAGAAAAUAUUAAGUUUUGUACCGAAAGUUGGUGGCUGCUCCCUGGGUUUUUUGGAGUUGCUCACAAGUGGGUGGUUCGUGAUAAGUUUGGUAGAACUAAGUGUUGCAAGUGCUCACAAGUAGGCUUUUUUGUUUGAACCAAGGCGAGGUGUGGGGAAUUAUGAGAAAUGUGCCUUAGGAGACUUUGUAAUCGCUUACAGGAUAGUUGUAAUCGCUUACCAGAGAAAAUAUUAAGUUUUGUACCGAAAGUUGGUGGCUGCUCCCUGGGUUUUUUGGCGUUGCUCACAAGUGGGUGGUUCGUGAUAAGUUGGGUAGAACUAAGUGUUCACAAGUAGGCUUUUUUGUUUGAACCAAGGCGAGGCGUGGUGCUCACCCUGUAAGCGAUUACAAUAGCACCAGGCCAGUGCCAUUGCUGCAGGAACUUACAUUCCAACCCACACAAACCUCUACUUCGUCUUCCCCACAAACAUAGGGGUCACUUAACUUAGAUAAUGAAUCAAAAUUAAAUAACACAUGGAAUCAACCGUACAAUAAAAUAUCCUUUCCAACAAUAACUAUCUCUGUUCACAAUCAUAUUAAGUGGUCCAAAUACAAAUAUACAUACUUAAUAAAUCUACCAAAUACUACACUAUUACAAAAAUUACAUAACUCUCAACCAAGUUUUGGAAUGUAUCCGGUGUAUGGAGUUCUACAAGCUUUGCUCUUGAAACGCCGUCGACGAAAUACACCCCCAACGACGACAGAGGCGAAACCUAGCUCGGAAGACCGAAACCCAACGAAAUCCUUCAACCUCCCCUCACAUUGCUCACCAUUUCAAAGCCUUCAGUAAAUGGACACAGAAGGAACAACUUCAAAGGAACACGAAAACAUUAAAUGGAUACAGAGAGAGCUUCGGAGAGAAACGAAAAUCUAUAAUGGAGCAAAAAGAGAGAGAGUGGUUAAAGAGAGUGUUUCGAAGAAGAAAUACUGAUUCAAACCACUGAGGGUGUUUUUGGAACAACACAAAAUCUCCUUUUUCAAAUCAUUAUUUUAAUUAAAAGAAAAAAUUAAAUCACCCAAUAGAUUGCUGACACGUGGCAUUGUCAAAUUGUUGUCAAAAUUUGGUUAACAUAUCGGGAUCUUUUUUUUUUUUACAUUUUUUUGGUUAAUUUUUUAUUAGUUAUGCUUAUAUUAUAUCCCUGAGUGUGUUUGGAAGUGUAUUUUGAAUUACUCAAUAAGAUGUUUUGAAAUGUUCAAUUCAAAAUAUAUUUCUGGAUUCAAUAAUAUAUAUCAUAUUCCAAAACCUAUUACCUAUAUACCUCAUCUCUACCAUAGAAGUUGUGGGACUACGUUAAACCAAAAAGGUAACAUGUAGAUUAACUUCUUAUAUUUUAUUAUAAAUUUAGAAGGACAAUAUGGUAAAAUGUUUAAUUUAGGAAAAGUGCAGAGAAAAAAAAUAAGAAAAAGAUUCCUUACUAUAGGCUAAAAACAAAACUUUUACUUUUGCACCCAUUGUUUUUCUUCUCCCACUUACAAUACAGAAAAUGUUUUCUCUGUUCCUUUUUUUUUUUUUACUAAGAUGACAUUAUGUACACCUUUAUUACACAUAUAAAUUUUUAAAAAGGUGAGAAUUUUAUCCCCCGAAUAACCGAAUUUUGACUUUGUUUUCGUUAUCUCAUAUUAAAAUGUUAGAAUUUUGUUUAUGAGGUUCUGAACUAAAUUUUUAGAUUUUUAGAUUUUUUAUUAUCCAUAAUUGAUAUAAUUUUUAGUUAUAUAAUUCAAAUAAAAUACUUAAAAUUAUCAAUUAUUACAUUAAUUUUUAUAUUUUAUUUUUUACUAUUAAAUUGAUUUGAAAAAUUAAAUCAUUUAUUAGAAAUAAAAGUUUAAUUACUUAUUAUAGAUAAUAUAUGAUGACUCUAUUUACACAAAUUUAUUUAUUUAUUCAUUUAAUCUAUUUGAAACUUAACAUAUUAUAUUAUAUCUAAUUAUUAUAAAAAAUUUAAUAAUAACUUAAAUUAAUAUAUACAAAAUAUUUUAAUAAUUUAUUAUUAUUUAUUAUUAUUAUUCUAAUUGAAAACCUAACAUAUAAAAUUAAUCAGUUCUAUAAAAUUAUAUUAUCAAACAUUAAAUAUAAAUAAAAAUAUACAGUACAUUGUUUGAUAGAAAUACUAGUUAAAUCUACAUAAGAAUAAAAGUGUGUAUCAGAAAAUAAAAACUUACAAUAUUAUCCUAUAUUUAACAAAUUUCAAUGAUAUUAAGUGUGACAUUAAUAUUGGAGCGAUUGAGAAAAACUGAGAGAGAAAUCUAAAUGAGUCAUGUAAUUUGGAGCUUGCUGUUUCCAGGAGAUACUGCGCUGCUCUGGUUAAUUAGUUUCCUUACUUUUCUUAUGUAUCAAAGUAGAUGAUACAUUUUUACAUUUAUCUUAUAUAAAGUAUAAAGAUAAAAAUAUUAUAAAAAUAUAAUUUUUUAUAUUUAAAAAAAAAUAAUAUCAACUUAAAAAUCUUUAAUAUGUAAAAUAAUCAUUUUUCAUUAUGAAAUGGUUGUUGUGAUGGUGACAUAGUGGUAAGCUAACAGUUUUUCUUGUCACUGUCAUUAACAGUUUUUCUAGUCACUGUCAUCUCCUGUUUAAGGUUGUUUUGUCUUGUGUCAUUUUCACCUAUGUUGAAAUAUUAGGCUUCCUUUAUUUCUUUGUUUUUCAAAAUCAUGAUUUUGGGUUUGGCUCAAUUGUAAAUAGCCCAAAGCUUGGAAUGAUCAAGAUCUCUUUUAAUCCAAAAUCGAUCUUUAAAUUUAAGAUUAUAUAUUCAAGAUUUUAGUUUUUGUUUACUGUAUCAUUAGAGAUGAAUUCAUAAAUUAUAAGUUGUAACUUUUUAAAUUCUGUUUAUGUAAUCUAUAGAGAAUAUUGAUAAAAAAAAUAAUUGCAUUAUCUUCACGUCUUCAUGUAAAAUAUUUAAAGAUUCAAUUAAAUAAAAAAAAUAAACAUUAAAUUAUUAAUUAAAUUUAUUCUACUCAUAUAUGAUCACAUUAAUGCAUAAUAAAAUCCAAUUAAACCAAAAAUAAAUUGAUAUUAAAAUUAAUCUAAAUCUAAAAUAUAAGAAUCAAAAUAAUAAUUAAAACUAUUUAAAUAAUAAUGAAAAUUAUAAAGUUAUGGCCAAAGUCGGUGCGAUGAGUGAUAACCUAAGGUGCAACUCUAAUAUGACCCAUGCAAAUAAUGGAAAACGAAAUUCAUACACGUGACCGCACUUAGGAUAAUUUUCCUACAAACAUAAUUAUGUAUAAUUUUCCUAGUAACAUAAUUAUGUAAGGGAAAACUACAGACUGCACAUGCAAUUGUUGGGCAGCUUAUAACAAAUUAAUAUAAAUAUAUUUAAAUAAAAUAAUAUUAUUGAAAGUACCAAAAGCUUUAAAAAGUUUUUAAGAGACAUACUCUUCAAUGAAUUAUACAGAAAAUAAGAUUAAAAUGUGCAUAUUAUGGUGUUUUAGUAAUUUUAUUUUAAAUUUGUUACAUUCAUUUCAUAUUAUUUUUUAUUAUAUCCUUUUUUAAAAUACAGUUUUUAUUUUAUUUUAAUGUACAAUAUCAGAUAAAUCUGAAUAUAUAUUACCUAAAAAGAUGUGUAAUGCAUAAAAAAAAAAAAAAGUGUCAAUAUUGCAUAGAUAAAUAACAAAGCGCGUGUGGUUUAGUGUUACAACGUGAAAGGGGGAGAGAGAUUUACAGGGACAAAACAUCUUGUCAAAUGCAAUAAAAACGUGUCAUAGUAUUAUUCUUUUUUGGGAAUGAUAUUUUCACACUCCAAUAAUUAUGCAUCUAUUACUUCAUUCCUUUUCUUUUUCUUAUAAAGUAUACAAAUUAACUUUCUCUUUAACAAUCACAUUACUCUCAAUAUCAUUGCUUUGAUAUUGAUAGACCUAUUCUUAGAGGUAAAAGAGGUAAAUUAUGAAAAAAGAAAAAGUAAGAGAAAUUAGCGAAUAUAUUAUAUAGACUUAUGGAGUCUUAAAAUGUCAUUACUCUUUCUUUCGAUCUUAAACUUGGAUUACUUUAAUUUAUUCUAAGUUAACUUCAAAUAAUUUAUACUUAAUGUACACUGUAAUUUAACUUAAUCAAAAUGAAAUCUUUAUCAAAUAUAAUAAUAUAUAAUAUAAUUUCAAGUUACAAAGUAAAACAAACACAAUAAAAAUAUUAUUAUUUUAAAUUGUGAAAUAUUAAAAAAAUUACAGCAUCAAUUUAUAAGCACUUAUAUUUUAUCUGACAAAGUCAUUUGGCCUAUAUAUACAAGGGCAAUGAUGCAUAGCCAAAACAAGCCAGUGGUAUCCUUAGAAGUAUGGCUAUCCAACAAUCUCUGCUAGACAAGCCUAGAAAUUCUAUUUCCAAAACAAUCUGUUUAGUCUUUUCUGUAGCUGCUGUCAUAUGUUCAUCAGCCUUUGUUGGUUCCUAUCUCAUCAAAUCCAGUUCCUUCCUUAACCAGUCCCCUCUUCAACAUCUCUGUCGCCAUGCACUUGAUAAUCCAUCAUGCUUAGCACAUGUCUCGGAAGUGCUUCAAGAUCCCAUCUUGACCACCACAAAAGACUACAACUUGAAUUUGUUCCACUCUUUCUUAAUGAAAUCCACCUCUCACAUUCAGAGAGUUAUGAACACAGUCAGUUCCAUCAAACUUAGGAUUAACAAUCCCCGAGAGGAAGCAGCUUUGAACGACUGUGUGGAGCUGAUGGACUUAUCCAUCAACAGAGUUUGGGACUCGAUCGUGACUCUAACGAAAGAAACCGAUGAGUCACAGCAAGAUGCACACACAUGGCUAAGUAGCGUGCUCACUAACCAUGCAACUUGUUUGGAUGGGUUAGAGGGGACAGCUCGAGCCCUUAUGAAGGAUGAACUCGAGGACUUGAAAUCCAGAGCGAAAACCACUCUGGCCAUGUUCGUUGCUGUUGUACCUCAGAGGGUUGAACCAAUCAUGGAUGAACCACUGAACGGGGAGUUUCCCUCAUGGUUGAGCAGCAAGGAUAGGAAGCUUUUGGAGUCCAGUGCUUUGAAGAUCAAUGCGAACGUUGUGGUGGCCAAGGAUGGGAGUGGCAAGUUUAAGAGUGUAGCUCAGGCUGUGGCAUCUGCACCUGAUAACGGGAAGACAAGGUAUGUUAUUUACGUGAAAAAAGGAACAUAUAAAGAGAAUGUUGAAAUCAGUAGUAAGAAGACGAACGUGAUGCUGGUUGGAGAUGGUAAGGAUGUAACUAUAAUUACUGGGAGCUUGAAUUAUAUUGACGGAACCACCACGUUUAAGUCCGCCACUGUAGGUAUGAAUCUUUCCCAAUUUAUUCUACUCAAUGGAAUAUUUAUAUAUAUGCAUUAAACUAUUAUUUUCCAAGGCUUUAAAAAAGAAACCAUUGGUUGUGACUUGUAAAAAUUGAAACUAAGUAGUAGCAUGGGUUUGCAGCUGCUGUGGGGGAUGGAUUUAUAGGUCAAGACAUAUGGUUCCAGAACACUGCAGGUCCACAGAAGCACCAAGCAGUGGCUCUUCGAGUAGGUGCGGAUCGAUCCGUCAUAAACCGAUGCCGCAUUGAUGCCUUCCAAGACACUCUGUAUGCCCACUCUAACAGGCAGUUUUACAGAGACUCCUAUAUCACUGGCACCAUUGAUUUCAUAUUUGGAAAUGCAGCGGUUGUGUUUCAAAAGUGCAACAUUGCGGCCCGAAAGCCCAUGAGUAACCAGAAGAACAUGGUGACGGCCCAGGGACGAGAAGAUCCAAACCAGAACACAGGAACUUCGAUUCAACAAUGUAAUAUAAUACCAAGUUCGGAUCUGAAGCCUGUGGUAGGGUCCAUCAAGACUUUCCUAGGGCGGCCAUGGAAGAAGUACUCGAGAACCGUUGUGAUGCAGUCCACAAUAGAGAGCCAUGUUGACCCAACAGGAUGGGCAGAGUGGGAUGCCCAGAGUAAGGACUUUUUGAACACGUUGUAUUAUGGAGAGUACAUGAACAAAGGAGCUGGUGCUGGUACCGGCAAGAGGGUGAAGUGGCCUGGUUACCAUGUCAUCAAAAGUGCAGCAGAAGCCAGCAAGUUCACGGUAACACAGCUUAUUCAAGGAAAUGUUUGGCUGAAGAACACCGGGGUCAACUACAUCGAAGGCCUCUAAAAUGAAGUCUUUUUAGCAUGUGCGACCCAUCUGGGGUUGUACGAAGUUUCGGUGAAUGUACGAUGUGAUGUUUCAUCUAAAAUAAUGUUCUGUCUCUGGGACUUCCAUUGUGCUUCCUUGUUUGCUGUUCAUGUUUCUCCCCUUAUGGAUAUCUUUAUCCAAAAAUCAAACAUCUUAAAAAGAAAAAAAAAAAUGAUUGAGAAAUUCUUACCACACAAAUGACAGUCUCUUUCUCUGUAAACAUAAUGGUUGAAGGUAAAACAAUCUAGAACACGAAAAAAUCACUAAUAAAUAAAAAUAUUAAAUUGUAAAUAUUUCAAUAACUGUUAGAACAACUUAUUGACGCAGUGACAUAAAUAAUUGGUGUUUUUUCUUUCUUCAUUUGAUUUGUAUUCUUACAUUUGUUGUUGAGUUUGUGUUUUUCGUUAAGAAUAAUCAAGCUUAUCGACGACAUUAUACAUCACUCAUAGCUGUAAAGCUCAUCCACAACAGCAACACAAAUUAUUUUCUCUUCUUCGACUUUCUUUCUUUUCCUACUACAAGACUCCACAAUGUGUCACUCACGUGAGCUUGAUUAGACUUUCUGGUUAUCCUAAUUUUUGUGUAUUUGGAUUUUUUAUUGUCCUCAAUUUUACAAAUUGUGAUUUUUUAUUAGAUUAAGAUUUUUACAAAUAUGAAUUUUGUAGUGCAAACUAGGUUAUCAAUCCAGAGAUAAAAAUAAUGAAUAAAAAAAAGGAAGAAAAGAGUCACAAUAUUGAAAAAUAAAAAAAGGAAAUUAUAAGUCAAUUUUUUUUUUAUCUCGCCUAAACACUUCGGUUGUUGAAUAAAAAGAUAAUAUCCAAAUAACCAAUAUUAAAUUCCUUCCAUGCACUACUACUAUACUCUUAUAACUUUAUUAUUUUAGUUACUACUUUUAAUACAGUAUAUUUGAUUGUUAAUCUUAACACACAUUAAAUCUUUUAUCAAACUUUAAGUAAAUUAAACAUAUUUUCUUCUAAACAUAUAGUAUUCUUGCUAAUUAGUAUAAAAAUUAAGAUAUAAUAGUAUAAUGGUGAAAUAAAUAGUGUAAUAUAGAAAUAUUAAAAAUAAAAAUGUUAUAAAUAGUAUAAUGAUUAAAAUAAAUAUGGUAUAUAAAAAUAUUUAAAAUACAUUUAUUAUCAAUAUGUUACAAUAAAAGGGUAAGAAUAAGAAAAUGUAAUUAAAAGGUAAAAAUAAUAAGAGAAAGCACAAAAAUAAAAUUCAAUCAAUUCGUAUAAAAAUCAUUUAAUAAAUAUUUUAUGAACAAAAUGAAUAAUGUAAAAACUAACGUUUUCAUGAAGCUUUAAUUGAUUAAAACUACAUUUUCAUUUGUUAAUUUAUUUAUAUAGGAAAACAAAAGAUUGUUUUUUAUUUGCAUUUUCUAUUUAAAAAAAUUGAAAGUAAAAACAUUAUAGUACUUUUGUAAUUCACGUGUGAAAACAGAAGAGGAAAAAUAAAAUAAAGAUAAGUCUCUUAAAUGUUAAAUGAUGCAAGAGCUUCAGUCUUUUGGAUGUAAGUGCCAUUCAGUUAUACAUUUAUUAGUUUCUUGUCAAACUUGGAGCUACUGGAACUGUCACAUGAAAGCUGUAGUAAUUGGUUCCUUUAUUAGAACAUGGUUUGUUGAGUUUGGUUUUGAAUUUAAUAUCUAGAGAUUAUGAGAAAUUUUAAUUAGUAUAAGUUUAUGUGAGACCACAGAGUCUUAAACUUGAUUAAUAUUUGGAUAUUACAUAACACUUUAAAUGCGAAAUAAAAAACAUUUAAUUAUAUAAUUAAAUUAUAAAUAAUAUUUAGAAAUCAUAUAAAAUCUCAUCAUUAAAUAAUAGAUUUUUAAAAUAUACGAGAACCACUUAAUACAAAAUAAGAAGUCACUACAAUUCUUUUUUAUAUCACCCAUGUAAUUUUGUUGGUUCAUUAUAUUCAUUCGUCGUGUGUGUGUAUAUAUUACAAACAUAAAAGGAGGUAUUGUUUCUAAAUAGAAUUUUAAAAAAAGAGAUAUAAAUAAAAACUGUGUAUUAUAAAUAUAAAUUUUUUAUUAUGAAGGACGAAAAUAGUCUCCUUUUAUUUUGAUGGCAUGAAAACCACUCAUCUAAUUUUAUUUAUUAAAAUAUUUUUUUUUAAUCUAUUUGUUUUCGCUAUGAAUUGAGAUUAUCAAUUCACUGAAUUUUGUAUGUUUUAGUGUUUAUUUUAUUAUCGCUCGUUCUUGAGAUCGUUAAAUCAAAUUAGUAAAUUGUUUAUAAAAAGAUUCAAUAAAUUUAGAAAGUGGAUAUUAAUUCUAACUCAAUCUCACAAAAUCGGUUUGUAAAGUGAGGUUUGCACCUCACUUAUAUAUUAUAAAAUGGUCUUAUCUUUAGUCGAUGUGAGACUUUCAACACACUCCUUUCACGUCAAGGUAUAGACAUCUCGUGCGUGAUAAUAGAAAUUGGAUGGUUUAAUAGUAGUUCAAUAGCAGAUGGAACAAAAAUGUCUAAAAAGUUAAAAUAUCACUAUCAUAUUUAGUCUUAUCUCUUGUCGAUAUAAAACUUUCGAUAAUAAUCUUAUUUUAUAAUAAGUUUUCAUCGAAUUUAAUUAUUACUUAAGUUAAUAACUCUAAGUUUAUCUAAAAUUUCUGAUUAAAUGAUCAUAAAUAAGCCAGACGACCAUAAAGUAUACUUUCAUAAACAAAUUUUAAUUUUAAUUUUAAUUUUAAUUUAAGAUUCAUAUCGUUUUUAUCCUUAUCCAAACACGAAACACAAUUAUUUAAGAAAAAACAUUCACUCCUUCUUCCAAUUCUAUCUCCAAUCCAAAGGUGGAGCUCAACUUUAGACAUGUAUCGGUGGGAAAAGACAACUUUGCCGGAUUUGCAAUCAUCGUACUCCACUAUCACAUGUUCAAUGGUACGAAGGAAUCUUUUGCUUUUUGUGGCAGCCUACAAUUAUUUUAUUCUCGUACAAGGUCCUCAACUACCUAUUUUUUAGGAUGUGAACUAAUUUUAAUAAACCGAAGAAGUAUAAAUAUAAAAUGUUUAGCUUUGGAUGGAGUAUUUGGUGAACCGAACUUUAUUUCAUGUUAUUGUAUAAUUUUUCUGUCAAUCAUUUUAUUUUUCUUACAUGGUGAUUAAUAAAAGGGGAUCCAUUUUUCUUACAUAAUUUUUUAUUACUUUUAUCUAAUUAUUUAUUUAAACUUAAAUGUUUUUUAAAUUAAAAUAUUUUUUUAUUUAAAUUUAAUUAUUUUCUUAACUACUUACAAUAAUAGGAAAAUGUAAAAAAAAAAUAAUAUAUAUAUAUAUAUACACACACAUAUAUGUUUUUACUAUAAUAUUUUAAAACUAAAUAUUAUUUUUAAAUAAUCAAUUAUUAAUAAACUUCAUGAACCUUCGAACUUUUCGGUAAAAGUAUUCGAAAUUUACAGUUCGAAAGACAGAAAUCCUAUUUCGAUAAACGAAACAUGAAAAUAUAAAAGAUAAUCUAAGUAUAAUUAACGAGUUUGUGCCUUGACAUUUACUUCGUGUUAGACGUGUUAGAGUAUUAUUUAAAUGUUAAUGAGUCGCUAAACAAAACUAUUUUUUUAUUUAUUUAACGGAUUUUAGUGACCUUUAAAAAAUAAAUAAGUUUGUCAUACUAAUCUUAUUUGUUUUUAUUCUUCAUUUGAAUGAUUUUUUUUUUCAAUCAUAUGUGAUUUUAUGAGGAAAGAAGAAGGAAAUUUUGCACGAGCAGUGCUUCUUUUUUUAAUGACAAGACGAUAAGCAAACUUAGAGUUGGAAAAUAAAAAAUUGUGAACCUAUUAAUUCAUUGGAGGUCUUUAACAAAAGUUAAUUGUUCAACUCACUAAUAAAUGUAGAAAUGCAUUAUUAUAAACAAUGAUUCACCUUCAUGGAACAAAUAUAUCUUAAAAUUAAUAAUAUUACUAUGCUAAUUUAUUAUAUACUUAAAACUAUAAUUUUUCUCACUUUAAUCACCUUGGUGAUUUAUAAAAUAUUUUUUUGUCACUUUAAUUUUUUUUAGUUAUAGAAGAUCGUAUUAUUUUGUUUGUUUGAGAUGGUAAAAUGAAAGAAUCAUAUCGUCUUAAUUAAUAAUAGAGAUUUAAUUAAAAAAUAUAAAAAAUUUAAAUAUAAUAGAAUUAAAUAAUUUUUUUUUUAAAUUCUGUAUAUGAAAACAUGUAAAUAAUGUCAAUGUAAAGUAACGACAUUCCUAUUAUUAAGUUUUUUUAAAAACACGAUUUUAUCUAGCUCUUUUAAAAACUUUAUUCUAAGGAGAAUUGGAAAAGUAUUAAAUUCAUAUAACGUUUUUUUAAAAUGAUAAAUUACUAAAAUAAUUUAAUGGCAAAUUCAAAUUAAAAUAUUUGACAUUGAAACUUUAUAAAUAAUAAAAAAAAGAGGUUUGAAUAUGACCUUAUUUGAUGUAGGACGAUAAUUUAAAAACGACAAGAAGCAAAAGAAAAAUGUGCAUAUAUUGAGAAAUUGGACGCUACUGACACACUGAUUGUGAAUAUCGGAAAGAACCUAGGAAUCUUACGUACGAUGGGUAUGGUGAAAUUAAGGGAAGAAAAAUAAUAUUUUAAAAUUCACAAAUUGUGAUACGUCGGCAGUAGUGAAAAAAAAAAACAAAAAAACAAAAGAGUAAAAAUCCUUCUAUGCAAUGUUUACUCUAACAAUUUUUUGAUAAUCUAUAUGUGUAAUUUGUGAUUAGUUUAUUUUUUAAAUAUAAAUUCAAAUAAACUAAUAAAAUAAUAAUACGUAUUUCGUUGUAAUUAAAAAAAAUUGUUAAAUUAUGAUGAUCCAAAGUUUAAUAAUAAUGCAGUGUUUCUCGUAAGGCAUCAUAUGCAUGUCCCCUCACAACCCUGCAAUAAAAUCUACACCCACAAGAAAAUUUUAGUUAAUUUUUUCAACAAUGUUAAUGAUAAAAUAUUUUUUAUUUAGUAGAUAUUUUGUUUAAAAGAGAAUUCAUUAUUGAGGUAAAAGUUGGAAAAAGUCCAAAAUAAAGGUUGAACGAUUUGUAACAUUUGAACUUGUAAACCUUAAUUACCAAUUAAACUAUAUAAAAAAAAAGCAAAAGUUUAGUUUUUUGAGCACAGCGUUAACAAUUAUAGAAAUUUUGUUCUCCUCAAAAGCAUAUGUCUAUUUUAUAUCAAAUCAUGUUUAAAUUAAUUAGAUUUCUUUCGAAGGAAUUGAUAUUGUCUACUUGGUCAACUAAGAUACAUUUUCGUGAGAAUAAUUAAAAAAAUUGUUUGCUUUUACGAUAAUUGAAUCUAUUAACUUUCAAUUCAAAUGCUUUAAAAAUAAGUUUAUACAUUUUAAUUACAUGAUUUUUCGUUUAGUAUAGUUUCAUAGAGAUACAAUAAUAUAUAUUUAUCAAUUUAAAAUUUUAUGCUGUUUGAUUAAUAUUCUUUUUAUUUUGUUAACUCAUACUGAAUAUUAAAUUUUGUCUUAGUCAAAUUCUUAAAUUAAGAUUUAAGUUAUACGACAAAGUUGUAAGUAAAACAUGUCCGUUUGUUACUCUAACAAUCUAAAUUUGAGAUAUAUAAAAUUUUGUGAGUAAAAAAUAAUUAUUAACUCGUUUUACAAAUAAUUUUGUAAUAUUAAAUUAAAUUUAAAAUUUAAAAAAUAUAUUUUAAUUGAAUAACUUUUAUGUUUUAUAUAUAAACAUUUCUUUAUUUAUUAAAUAAUAUAAAAACCUUAUGAAAUUAAUAUCAUUCAAAAACAAAACAUUAAAAUAGUGAGUUUAUGAGUCUUUUAUUUCAAUAAUGUUUAACUUUAUCAUUUUUAUAUAAUAUGAUUAUGAUAAAUAGAUAAAUUCUACAUAAUUUUGAUAUCAUAUAAAAAAUAAAUUUUACAUAUAAUUUAACCGUACAUAAUUAACUUCGUAAAGUAAUUUUGCAGUUAUUUAUACACUAUAAAUUCAAAAAUUUAAUUUUUUUUUUAAUAUAAGAUUUCAACAAAAUAUUUAAAAAUUUAACUAGCAUGAUGCGAUACCCUUGAAACAAAUCAGUCUUCUCUUGCAUUACAUAUGUUUUAAGAAAAUAUUUAUAAGAUUUUGUAACUUAUUCUUUUAAUUUUUAUAAAUACAUGCAAUUUAUUAAAUUAUAUAAAAAUAAAAAUAAUAAAAGAGAAAUCGAUAUUGUAUUAAACUUAAAAUCACUAAUAUCAACCUUUAGAAAAUAUGAUGGUUGAAAAGAUAAAAAAGAGAGUCUAAUAUGCACUCUUGGAAUGUACAUGACAUGUUCAUAGGCUUGCAUACGAGGACUGUCGGUCAUCCUUUUUAAUAAUGUUGAAGUUUUAAACAUAAGUUGAAAUAUAAAAAAAUCAAGAUAUAUUUGGAUAAUAUAAGAGUUGUUUUAAAUACCUUAAACUAACAUCUAAGUAUAUAAAUCAGAUGAGAUGAGCUUUGAGUAGGGUUCAUCGUGCUCAUAAACUAUUUUUCGAAACAAAGUAAAUUAUAUAAAAAAUGACACGAUUGGCAUAUAUAAUUAAUUGAUACAGGUGCAAUAAAAUAAUAAAAAAAUAAUAAUGAAAUAUUUGAGAAAAAUAUAUUCAUAGAUAAAUAACGCUUAAAAAGGUAAAGUUGUAAAUUUUUAGGAAAUUUAUCUUUAUUAGUAAAAAUACGUUAGAGAUGGUUGAAUACACAAAUAUAUUAGAUGUUAAUAGCUUGGAGAUUUUUUUUUUUAUUUUUUUAUAGAAACAACACAAUAAGCUAGUGUUAAUUUCUAGUACACCUUUAGAAAAUUUGAAACCCUAUUAAAAAUAAAUUAAUUUAUUUGUUUGUGAUUAUACUUCAUCUUGUUUAUUUUGUACACAUAUUAUAUCAUUAUACAGAAACAUUGUACAAGCAUAAUGAUUAGGUAUUUGAAGAAAUAUGCUGUGGACAAGUUAUUCCAUAUAACUUUUUAAAAUCUACAGAAAUUAGGUGAUUCAGAUCGUGCUCAUUGACUUUAAAAAGUUACCAUUUGUUCCAUAUUUGAACACCUUUUUAAAACGGAAAAAGUAUUUUUACCAAUUUUUUUUAAUAAUUUUUUUAUAAUAUUGUAAUUAGUUUGUUUUAAAUAUUUUUUUAAAUAUAAAUUUAAAUAAAUCAAUAAAAUAAUGACACAUAUCUCAUCAUAAAAAAAAAUUAUUAAAAAAUAUGAUCAAAAUAUCAUCGUCUUUUUAAAAAUGACUUUUGUAAGCUCACUUAUAAAAUCUUAUAAUUAUUACAAAGAAAUAUGCAUAUACAUAUAUAUAUAUAUAUAUAUAUAUAUAUAUAAUUUAUACAAUCAAAAGAAAAGAAUCUCAUGUUUUACCACUCAGUAUUGUUGUAGCGUCUUCUUCCUUCAGAUCUUUUGUUAUCCUCCUCAUCAUGAACUUUGCAGCAUCUACUGAUCGGAUAAUAAAGGAGUGGUAUUUUGCAAACUGGGGGGCCUGCAACUGAUGUUUCUUGUUCAAUCGGGAAAAAGUAUUUAUUAGGUGAAGUAAAAAAAAAAAAAAAGUUAUAAGAAAGUCCAUACUUGCAUCACUGUAAAACUAAAGUCAGAAGCAAGUCACAUGGUAUCCUCGUUAAUUAAGAACGAGUGGUUGAAUUCAUCCGACUAUAAGUACGGUGAAGCAAAGAACAGAUAAGCAAGAGCAGACACACGGAGAAGCAUGGCAACACACCAAUCUCUGUUAGACAACCCUAGAAAAUCCGUUUCCAAAACUACAUGCUUAAUCUUCUCUCUAGCUGUUGUGCUAACUUCAUCAGCUCUUAUUGCUUCCUAUCUCACAAAACCUUCCCCCUUAUUCAACCAUGGCAUCUCUCGCCGUGUUUGUGAUCAUGCAAUUCAUCCUUCAGCCUGCUUGGCACAUGUCAUGGAAGUCGUACAAGAUCCGAAGUUCGGUGCCACACAAAACCACAGAUUCGGAUUGCUGCAAUCCUUUUUAAUGAAAUCCACGUCACACAUUGAGAGAGUGAUAGGGGCAGCCAACGCUAUGAGGGUGAGGAUGAACAGUCCAGGAGAAGAAGCCGCCAUGCAGGAUUGCGUGGAGCUGAUGGAGUUGUCCUUGGACAGAGUUUGGGACUCAAAGGCCAGCCUAACCAAAGGGACGACUGAUUCGGCGCAAGAUGCCCACACUUGGCUAAGCAGCGUGCUCACUAAUCAUGUAACUUGCUUGGACGGACUGAAGGGGCGAGCUCGACGGCUGAUGGAGGCAGAGGUUCAGGACUUGAUAUCGAGAGCAAGAAGCUCUUUAGCCAUGUUCGUUGCUGUUUUGCCUCCAAAUCCAGAGGUUGAAGUCGUGUCGCUAAAUGGGAAGUUUCCGUCAUGGGUGAGAAGCAAGGAUCGGAGGCUGUUAGAGUCUUCAGCCGGAGAGAUCAAGGCGAACGUUGUGGUGGCUCAGGACGGGACUGGUGACUUUUUUACUGUUGCUGAAGCUUUGGCCACGGUACCCAAUAAAAGCAAGAAGAGGUAUAUUAUUCAUGUGAAGAACGGAACAUAUUUUGAGAAACUUGAAAUUGGUAAGAAACAGAAGAACGUCAUGCUGGUGGGUGACAGCAUGGAUUUAACUAUAAUCACCGGAAACGUGAGCGUCACCAAAGAAACGGGCACCUUUCACACUGCUACUGUUGGUAUGGAUCUUCUUUUUUUUAGAAAAGAAAAUUUUGUACACCUAUUGGGCCUAUUAAAACUUAACCUGUUAAUAAUGGGUUUUUGCAGCGGCGGUUGGGGAUGGGUUCAUAGCCCAAGAUAUUUGGUUUAAAAAUUUUGCAGGCGCAGAAAAGCACCAGGCAGUUGCACUUCGCGUGGGCGCUGAUCAAUCCGUGAUAAAUCGUUGCCGCGUGGACGCAUAUCAAGACACGCUCUACGUCCAUUCCAACAGACAGUUCUACCGCGACUCCUACGUUAAGGGCACCGUUGACUUCAUUUUUGGAAACGCAGCUGCCGUCUUCCAGAACUGUACGCUGGAGGCCCAAAAGCCCAUGAAAGGUCAGAAAAACAUGGUGACAGCCCAAUCACGAACAGAUCCAAACCAAAACACAGGAAUUUCAAUUCAACAGUGUAACAUCUCCCCCAGCGAGGAUCUUAGGCCCGUCAUAGGGUCUUUCAAAACAUAUUUGGGCCGCCCGUGGCAGAACUUCUCGAGGACUGUUGUUAUGCAAUCCUUUCUGGACGAGCAUAUUGACCCAGAGGGAUGGUCGGAAUGGGAUGAGAAACAUAAAAGCUAUUUGGAAACCCUGUAUUAUGGAGAGUACAUGAACAGAGGACCUGGUGCCGGUACCGGUGGAAGAGUGAAUUGGACCGGUUACCACAUCAUCACAAGUGCGGCCGUAGCCAACCAGUUCACGGUGAAAAACCUCAUCCAAGGCGAUGUUUGGUUGAAGAACACUGGGGUCAAC